GACGAACGCUGGCGGCGUGCCUAAUACAUGCAAGUUGAGCGAUGAAGAUUGGUGCUUGCACCAAUUUGAAGAGCAGCGAACGGGUGAGUAACGCGUGGGGAAUCUGCCUUUGAGCGGGGGACAACAUUUGGAGACGAAUGCUAAUACCGCAUAACAACUUUAAACAUAAGUUUUAAGUUUGAAAGAUGCAAUUGCAUCACUCAAAGAUGAUCCCGCGUUGUAUUAGCUAGUUGGUGAGGUAAAGGCUCACCAAGGCGAUGAUACAUAGCCGACCUGAGAGGGGGAUCGGCCACAUUGGGACUGAGACACGGCCCAAACUCCUACGGGAGGCAGCAGUAGGGAAUCUUCGGCAAUGGACGAAAGUCUGACCGAGCAACGCCGCGUGAGUGAAGAAGGUUUUCGGAUCGUAAAACUCUGUUGGUAGAGAAGAACGUUGGUAAGAGUGGAAAGCUCAUCAAGUGACGGUAACUACCCAGAAAGGGACGGCUAACUACGUG
RNAcentral lists this ribosomal RNA (497 nucleotides) under uncultured bacterium. RNAcentral describes it as "partial 16S ribosomal RNA". It matches the Rfam family "Bacterial small subunit ribosomal RNA", at positions 28 to 507 of the family's 1533-position model. The record is from RNAcentral.